ACUACGGGGGGCAGCAGUGAGGAAUAUUGGUCAAUGGACGAGAGUCUGAACCAGCCAAGUAGCGUGAAGGAUGACGGCCCUAUGGGUUGUAAACUUCUUUUAUAUGGGAAUAAAACGUUCCACGUGUGGGAUUUUGUAUGUACCAUAUGAAUAAGGAUCGGCUAACUCCGUGCCAGCAGCCGCGGUAAUACGGCGGAUCUGAGCGUGUUCCUGAUUUAUUUGGGUUAAAGGGAGCGUAGGUGGAUUGUUAAGUCAGUUGUUAAAGUUUGCGGCUCAAACGUAAAAUUGCAGUUGAAACUGGCAGUCUUGAGUAGAGGAGAGGUGGGCGGAAUUCGUGGUGUAGCGGUGAAAUGCUUAGAUAUCACGAAGAACUCCGAUUGCGAAGGCAGUUCACUGGACUGCAACUGACGCUGAGGCUCGAAAGUGUGGGUAUCAAACAGGAUUAGAUACCCGAGUAGUC
RNAcentral lists this ribosomal RNA (460 nucleotides) under uncultured bacterium. RNAcentral's name for it is "partial 16S ribosomal RNA". It matches the Rfam family "Bacterial small subunit ribosomal RNA", at positions 338 to 795 of the family's 1533-position model. The record is from RNAcentral.